RNAcentral lists this long non-coding RNA (4845 nucleotides) under Sus scrofa (pig). Its description in RNAcentral is "lncRNA (ENSSSCG00000049694.2)". Lineage: Eukaryota; Metazoa; Chordata; Mammalia; Artiodactyla; Suidae. The record is from RNAcentral.
CGACUUGUUCUCUAGAAGUUGGUCCCCACGUUAGCUCCUCAGAGAGGAGCUGCUUACUAAAGAGAGGAUUCUCUUCUGGAGUCCUUUGGACUCCAGACACAAUUUAUAAUUGUCUUAAUUUAUGCAAUUAUUGGUUUAAUAACACAUUCCCUAUUAGUCUGUGAACUCCAACCAGAGAGAGAUCAUUUAUGCUUUUUAAAACUUCUGUAGAAUAAGUAGGCGAUAGCAGGCACUUAUUUUGAACACAUGAAUGAAAGAGAUGUUUGAGGAAGCAUUUAGUUCAGUGGCUGGCCCAUGGACAAUACACAGGUUAGUUUCCCUUUUUCAUUUUAACAUUGUAUUAGGUAUUGGUCUUUUAUUUAAUGGAAUGUUUUUAAAUCUUUUGGAUAGCUGCAGUCAUGCCACUAGAUGUCAGCCUAAGCUAGAAAAUUAACUGCUAUGAACAGAGUGUUGUGUAUGAUGCCACUGCUCAGUUGAGCUGUUAAAUGAUUCCCAUAUUUUUUAAGUUAAUGAAGAAAUAACAUUUUUGUAGAUACCUUUUUUUCUUUCUACAGCCACACAUGUGGCACAUGGAAGUUCCCGGGCUAGGGGUCAAAUCAGAGCUGCAGCUGCAGCCACAGCAACACCAGAUCCAAACCGCAUCUGCCUUCCAUACCAUGCAGCUCUUUAACCCAGUGAGGGAGGCCAGGACUCGAACCCACAUCCUCACAGACACUAUGCUGAGCCACAGUGGAACUCCCUGUAGAGACCGUUGAAUUUGAGGUUGUGGAUGUGCUGGAUUGCGUAUCGAGCACUGAGGGUGUAAUUCUCUUGUCUUGUAGAUGGUUAUAGAAGUGUUAGAUUCUUUGUCCGGUAACUUCUCAUGAUGGAAUAUCCAUGAAAUACAAUAAUAAGGUAAUAACAGCUGCUAAUAUUUAUUAAGUACUAGCUGCAUGGCAAACAGUUUGCUAAAUGCUUAAAUGUUUACCUCAUUUAAUCUCAAUUAAUUAAUUAGAACAGUAACUAAAAGUAUCUCAAUUGAUAAAAAAAAGUCCGGUGAGAUAAAUAGUAUUACUAACCUCAUUCAAAAACUGGAAUUUAAAGAGAUUAAGGAGCUGUUCUUAAAAACUCCAAAAGAGAGAGCAUAACAAGGCAUGAUUACUUACCUAUAAAAAUAAACACUUAUUUAUAAAAAAAUAAAGAUGUUUUAAUAGCGCGGGACUUGUCAACAUUCAUUGCCAGUUGGAAUUCAGGAUUUUAGGGGACAACGAAAUAAAUGAUGCUGUUUAGUGGCCGGGGUUAGGAUGGCAGUGAAAAGAGCUCAGAUGUUGAAUGCGGCAGACCUUGGUUUGCGCCUCAGCUUUACUCUGAUGUGAGGCGGCUUAUUUCGUGCCUUUGAGCCUCUGUUCCCAUGUCAGUUACGCGGAGGACUAGAACAAGCCUGCGUUACGGUGCCGAAGUGAAGGUCAGAGAAACAUAUGGGAAGUGCCUGCCACAGGGACCGCAUGUCCCAAGUUACGGUUUUCCUAAUUUUUGCUAUAAAUGUCUAAACCUGAGAACAAUGAUAUUCAUUUUUUGGAUACUGUGGGUGAAAAAGACCCUCGUGCUUCGGUGACGGUAGCUGAAUAUAAGAAGAUGGCACCGUCACGUUUAUAUACCUGAAUGGCCUAACAGUCCUCGAUCCACAGUUGACAUACAAGGCUGAUUAUUUACCUUUCAGGAUUAUUGGGACGGUUUCCCUUGAGGAACCGAAAAUUGAGAUCAUGCAUUUUGUACUUGGUUGACAUCUUCCGAGUGCCUUUGGUGCUUGGGUGUGAUGAUGAAGGGUAGAGAAAUGAGGCUCCCUCUCUUCUUUCCAAGUUAUCGGUACUUAGGUUUGUUUGUAUAAUACAUUACUUCUUGCUUAGAUUCCUUUAAUAACCUCCAAGUUUGUCUCUCCACUUUAGUCUCCUUUACGCAUGUCUAGAGAUGGGUACCCCUGAAUUACAGCUCAGACCCUAUGACAACUUGUUCAAGCAUCUGCAGUCUCCGUGGCCUACCCAAAGUUUCCACCAACCCUGGCUGGAGACAUACUGUGGACUGGUCCCCCGUUUUUACUUUACGGGCUGCCCCUGGGUGCAUCUAGAGACAAUCAGGACACGUGAGCACGUGAACUAACAUCCCUAAUUCAACUUUAUGUUUCGAAAAUAUUUGUAAUUAAGGAGGCUGGAGUGAAAUCAUUUUUUUAUACUUUAAGGAAAAUUUAAAAUUCAGGGAAAUGUAAGGAAUAGUUUAACAACAUUCAUUCUUUGAUACAGAAUUAACCAUUGUUAAUUUUUUAUCAUAGCUUAGAUUUUUUUAAGAAUUUACUGUGUCUUCUGCCUGAAACAACUUAAAAAACGCUCUUACUUAUCGACAGUUACAAAUACAGUAUGUUCUGUGUGGUUUUAAUUUAUGUGCAUGACACUGCGCCCAUCCUCUGUAAUUUACCUUGCUCUGUACUGUGUAUCUGAAGUCUGUUUAGUAUAGAUAAGACCGCUUUCUCCUGACUCUUGUCUUGGCCCAUCUCAUGAGUGCAUCCUGUGUUGUUGUCUAGUUCGACGCGGGGGGCAGUGAGAUUGUUUUGGUUUUCACGCGUAAAAUCACGGUGCGGUGAAUGUUUUCAUGUAUCCUGGAACAAAAACGUAAAAAUUUCUUUGAGGAAUCUAUCUGUAAGUGUCUGCGUAUUUUUAUUUUACUAACUACAACCAAUUGCUUUCAGCGGAGCUUCCCUGUUUCCUCCCAUUUUCAUGAAAACUUGAUAAAUACUAUUAUUGGGUGGAAAUUUUCUGGUUAGCUUCAAGAUUAAGCUAAGGUGACCGGCCUUUUCCUUCUUUGAACAUUGGCAGUUCAUGUCCUUUGCCCAUUUUUGUUGUUGUUGAAUUGUUCACAUUUUUCUUUCUUUUCCCUCCUCUUUUUUUAUUGAGUUUGAAAAUAUCUGCUUCCUAUUUACUAUAAACCUUUAGUGUCCCUAAAUUGUUUCUUCCACUACCAUAAAUUUAUAUAUAAACAAAAUUCAAAUAAUUGAAAUCUUAAUAUUGAGUAUUUUAAUACGUAAAUGUGAUGUCUUUAUUCAUUUAUUCAGAUCCUUUAAAAUGUUUUUCAGUAAUAUUUUAUAGUUUUCUGCAUAAAGUUCUGCAUUUUGGGUUGGAUUUUUUCUAAGGUAUUUUAAAGUUUUAUUCCUAUUAUGAAUGAGAAUUUUAAAAUUAACUAUUUAUAAUUUACUUGCUUAUAAAUAGUAAUAUUAUUGAAUUUCAUUCAUUGAAUUCUCAUAUUCCUAUAGUUUUGGUUGCAUCUCUCAAUAUUUUCUAUGAAAAUUAUGGUUUUCAAAUACUGACAAUUUUGCCUCUUUAAAAUAUUCAUGUUUAUCCAUUUUCAUGUCUUUUUGCAUUGGUUAGUUAGGGCUUCCAGCAUAAUGCUGACUAGUAAUGUAAGUCUAGCAGAUAUCUUGGUGCAUUCCUGACUUUAAUCCGAAUACUUCUCUUCUUUUCCUAAAAAUUAUGAUGCUUGGUGUAGAAUUGUCUAGGUACUCACUAAAUUUCCUUUCAUAUUCCAGUUCUCCAAUUUUUUGGUUUUUAAAAAUUAUGCAUAGGUAAUUGAAUACAUCAAAUGCCUUUUCUGCAUUUUUAAGAUUUUUCUCCCUUAAUCUGUGAAUGUGGUGGAUUACAUUAUAGUGCUUAUUUUUUAUUAUUAUUAGUUUGUUCAUUUUAUCCAGAACUCAGGAAUAGAAUUACUAAUUUUCCUCAGUUGAUGAUACGGUAUCAUCAUUCGUCUAUGGCUCUUUCUAUUAUAUCAUUACUUAUUUUCGUAUUUCCUAUCCACAGCUCUAUUCCAUUUCUCCUACCCCUGCUUUUACCUUGAUGUGUUUGUUAUAUCUGCUGGUCCAGUGAGGUGUUAUUUUGUGUGUGUGUCUAUGUGUUAAUUUAUAUAAAUGCUGUUGGUUUAUAGCUGUUGCUUCGUUUCAGUAUUUUUUCACUCAGCACUAUGCGGUUAAGAUUUAUUUUGUUGCUGCAUGUACAUCCUCUAUGUUGCCUUUAGGUGUAGGAGAGACCAUUUGUAAUAUAUGGUAUAAUGUUUCAGAUUACACACCCACUGCUUAUGCGUUCCCCCGCAAUGGGCACCCAAAGUAACUUUCAGCUUUCUGUGACUAUAAAUUAACACUGUGAUAAAUAUCCUCAUGUAAGUUGCCUUUUGAUUUGUGUGCUGAUUUCUUUGAUGCGCAUACCUAGAUAUGUGCUUGUUGGAACAUGGGAUAAUUUGCAUACUGAGUUUAUUAAGUUUCAUCGGAUUAUUUUCCGUAAUACUACUUCGGUUACACUCCUGCCGGUAGACGAUGAGAAAUCUUAUUUUUCUACUUUCUUACCCACAACUGCUGUUAUCUGAUUUUUAAUUUUUAUUAUUUUGAUGAUUGUUAAGGUAUGUAUCAAUGUUGUUACAAUUGGCAUUUCUCUGACUCUGGUGUGUUUCUCUGAUUUCUAUGCUUAAUUGCCACUGGGCUUCCUUUUAAAUGAUUUGCCUAUUUUUCUGUCCAGGUUUCCUGUCUUUUCCUUACAUGUUUGUAGCUGUUUCUUAUACAUGCCACAUAUAGCAAUUCCUUAGCAGUUUUUAAACAUUGAAAGUAUCUUCUCUACAAACGGAAACAGAUGGCAGACAUGGAGAGCAGACUUGUGGUUGCCCCCGUCGGGGCGAGGGGGUUGGGGGGGGAUGGUUGGGGAGUUUGGGUUGUGGAGCAAACUGCAACAUUUGGAAUGGAUGGGCAACGGGGUCCUACUGUAUAGCAUGGGGAACUGGGUGUGAUUGGUGACUUUGCUGUACAACAGAAAUUGAAGAAACAUUGUAAAUCAACUG